GAAAUGCGAUAAGUAAUGUGAAUUGCAGAAUUCAGUGAAUCAUCGAAUCUUUGAACGCACAUUGCGCCCGCCAGAAUUCUGGCGGGCAUGCCUGUUCGAGCGUCAUUUCAACCCUCGAGCUCCCCUUUCGGGGGGAGCCCGUCGUUGGGGACCCGGCGCUAACAACGCCGGCCCCGAAAUGGAGUGGCGGCCCGUCCGCGGCGACCUCUGCGUAGUAACAACCACUCGCACCGGGACCCGGGCGCGGCCACGCCGUAAAACACCCCACCUUCCGAAUGUUGACCUCGAAUCAGGUAGGAAUACCCGCUGAACUUAAGC
RNAcentral lists this unclassified non-coding RNA (318 nucleotides) under plant metagenome. Its description in RNAcentral is "partial contains 5.8S ribosomal RNA, internal transcribed spacer 2, and large subunit ribosomal RNA". The stretch from base 1 to 105 matches the Rfam family "5.8S ribosomal RNA", at positions 50 to 154 of the family's 154-position model. The record is from RNAcentral.